RNAcentral lists this non-coding RNA (88 nucleotides) under unclassified sequences. RNAcentral describes it as "chrB RNA". The stretch from base 5 to 51 matches the Rfam family "chrB-b RNA". The record is from RNAcentral.
GCCUCGGGGAAAUGCAGACUCCCCGUCAGACGGUAGCCGUCCAAGUUCUGCGCAGCACUCGCUUUGUCGAGGAGAUUGCGCAUGCAUG